RNAcentral lists this ribosomal RNA (593 nucleotides) under uncultured bacterium. RNAcentral describes it as "bacterial SSU rRNA". It matches the Rfam family "Bacterial small subunit ribosomal RNA", at positions 97 to 706 of the family's 1533-position model. The record is from RNAcentral.
GGCGGACGGGUGAGUAACGCGUAGGCAACCUGCCCCAUACAGAGGGAUAGCCUCGGGAAACCGGGAUUAAAACCUCAUAACGCGAGAGAAUUUCAUGAUUCACUCGCCAAAGAUUUAUCGGUAUGGGAUGGGCCUGCGUCUGAUUAGCUAGUUGGUAAGGUAACGGCUUACCAAGGCGACGAUCAGUAGCCGACCUGAGAGGGUAAUCGGCCACAUUGGAACUGAGACACGGUCCAAACUCCUACGGGAGGCAGCAGUGGGGAAUAUUGCACAAUGGGCGAAAGCCUGAUGCAGCAACGCCGCGUGAGCGAUGAAGGCCUUUGGGUCGUAAAGCUCUGUCCUUGGGGAAGAAAAAAAUGACGGUACCCUUGGAGGAAGCCCCGGCUAACUACGUGCCAGCAGCCGCGGUAAUACGUAGGGGGCAAGCGUUAUCCGGAAUUAUUGGGCGUAAAGAGUGCGUAGGUGGUUUUGUAAGCGCGAGGUGAAAGGCUAUGGCUCAACCAUAGUAAGCCUUGUGAACUGUAAGACUUGAGUGCAGGAGAGGAAAGUGGAAUUCCUAGUGUAGCGGUGAAAUGCGUAGAUAUUAGGAGGAA